Molecule: non-coding RNA, 2879 nt
Organism: Macaca mulatta (Rhesus monkey)
Lineage: Eukaryota; Metazoa; Chordata; Mammalia; Primates; Cercopithecidae
Source: RefSeq, a predicted model, not a curated record
CACCACGCCCAGCCCAGGCAGAGUUCUUAUGUACCCACAAUGAGCCUGCCCACCUCAGCCAUGCCUGUUGAGGGGGUGGGGAGAUGCCCUGUGGGCCAGCCAUGCCAGCGGGUACCUGGGAGGUGGGCAGCCCUGGGCCAAAUCCGAGCAUGCCCUCUCUGCAGCAGCAAUGCAGAGUCCCUGGACAGGCUCCUGCCCCCUGUGGGCACUGGGCACUCUCCCCGGAAGCGGACCACCAGCCAGUGCAAGUCAGAGCCUCCCCUGCUGCGCACCAGCAAGCGCACCAUCUACACCGCAGGGCGGCCGCCCUGGUACAACGAGCACGGCACGCAGUCCAAGGAGGCCUUCGCCAUCGGCCUGGGAGGUGGCAGUGCCUCUGGGAAGACCACUGUUGCCAGAAUGAUCAUUGAAGCCCUGGACGUGCCCUGGGUGGUCUUGCUGUCCAUGGACUCCUUCUACAAGGUGCUGACUGAGCAGCAGCAGGAACAGGCCGCACACAACAACUUCAACUUCGACCACCCAGAUGCCUUUGACUUCGACCUCAUCAUUUCCACCCUCAAGAAACUGAAGCAGGGGAAGAGUGUCAAGGUGCCCGUCUAUGACUUCACCACGCACAGCCGGAAGAGGGACUGGAAAACACUGUAUGGUGCAAACGUCAUCAUCUUUGAGGGCAUCAUGGCCUUUGCUGACAAGACACUGCUGGAGGGGCUGGUCCCAGUGUCUCCAUGCCGGCUGCUGGCAUCCAGCCGCUCACUGGCCCACCGUCUCCACCAGCUCCUGGACAUGAAGAUCUUUGUGGACACAGACUCUGACAUCCGCCUGGUACGGCGGCUGCGCCGGGACAUCAGUGAGCGCGGCCGGGACAUCGAGGGUGUCAUCAAGCAGUACAACAAGUUUGUCAAGCCCUCCUUCGACCAGUACAUCCAGCCCACCAUGCGCCUGGCAGACAUCGUGGUGCCCAGAGGGAGCGGCAACACGGUGGCCAUCGACCUGAUCGUGCAGCACGUGCACAGCCAGCUGGAGGAGCAUGACCAUUCCUGGGUGGGGGUGGCCUGGCCGCCUGCCCUGGUCACUGACGCGCCACCGUUCCCUUGUGUCUUCCUGUGUUGCUGCCACAGCGUGAACUCAGCGUCAGAGGAAGCUCCGUUGGGAUAUGUGAGCAGAGUGCUCUGUGGUGCUGCUGUGUGCCCGCCUUCCUGUAGCCCCUUGUCCCUGCUCCUGCCCGGCCACUUUCCCUGCCAGUCACGCCCCUUUCCUGCCCCUGCCACAGCCCAUUCCCGGCCCUGCCUCUCCCUGCCCGUGUCACGCCUCUUUUCUGCCCCUGCCAUACCUCUUCCCUACCCCGCCCCUUUCCCGCUUCUGCCCCGCCACGCCCAAUUCCGUGCCCCCCCACCCGCUUUCCUCUUCCUGCCCCUGCGCCAUUCCCUGCCCUUGCCCCGCCCCUUUUCAGCUCUGCCCCUCCCUGUCCCACCUCUUUCUUGCCUCCGUCCCGCCCUUUUCCUGGCUACUCCUAGACCUGCUCCUGCCUCUGCCCUCCCCAGGCUUGGGCAGCGGGGCAGGGCAGCCAAGCGGCACUGAGCCAGCUUUGCCCCUCGCCCCCAUCUCUCGAGGGGCCACGCACCACUUCGCGGAGGAGCCAGGGCGGGGCCCGACCCCACAGAGCUUUAGUUGUCCCCCAGGGAGAGGCUGGGGACAACCCGCCCAUCCUGGGGUCUGAGACCUGUGAGCCUGCCCUGUGCCUGCUUCCUCUUAGCCCAGGAGGGUCCCGCGCUGGGAGGGGCCCUCACACCCUCCCCCCAGCUUUCUGCCUGAUGGUGAGCUUGCCCCGUUGUUCGCCACCAUCUUUCGCCUUUGCCUGGCAGCUCAGCCCCGGGCAGAAGUCAGGCCUGCUCCACCUCCUGCUGUGCCUGGCCCAUGUGUUCCCCCCACAGUGAUGUGCACGGCCGUCCUGUGGGGAGGGAGAGCUCUGGGAGAAGACCCCCUUCUUGAGUGUUCCCCAUCGGUUUGUCCCCAGGGCUGCGCUGGCCUCGGCACACCAGUGCCACCCGCUGCCCCAGACGCUGAGCGUCCUGAAGAGCACGCCGCAGGUGCGAGGCAUGCACACCAUCAUCAGGGACAAGGAGACCAGUCGCGACGAGUUCAUCUUCUACUCCAAGAGACUGAUGCGGCUGCUCAUCGAGCACGCGCUCUCCUUCCUACCCUUUCAGGACUGCGUUGUGCGGACCCCGCAGGGGCAGGAGUACGCGGGCAAGUGCUAUGCGGGGAAGCAGAUCACAGGUGUGUCUAUCCUGCGUGCCGGUGAAACCAUGGAGCCCGCCCUGCGCGCUGUGUGCAAAGACGUGCGCAUCGGCACCAUUCUCAUCCAGACCAACCAGCUUACCGGGGAGCCCGAGCUGCACUACCUGAGGCUGCCCAAGGACAUCAGCGAUGACCACGUGAUCCUCAUGGACUGCACCGUGUCCACGGGCGCCGCGGCCAUGAUGGCGGUGCGCGUGCUCCUGGACCACGACGUGCCUGAGGACAAGAUCUUUCUGCUGUCACUGCUCAUGGCAGAGAUGGGCGUGCACUCAGUGGCCUAUGCGUUUCCACGAGUGAGAAUCAUCACCACGGCGGUGGACAAGCGGGUCAAUGACCUUUUCCGCAUCAUCCCAGGCAUUGGGAACUUUGGCGACCGCUACUUUGGGACAGACGCGGUCCCCGAUGGCAGUGACGAGGAGGAAGUGGCCUACACGGGUUAGCUGCCCAGUGAGCCAUCCCCGUCCCCGCCACCCUCCUGCCUCCUGACCCAGGAUUGCCGAAUACAAAGAUGUUAAUUUUUAAAAUGUUACCAGUAUAAUUUAUUUUAUGCAUUUUAUAAAAUAAAGAAAGCUUUAGAAAAA